AACAAUGGUUGCCCACGUUGGAGAUUUCGGAUUAGCAAAAAAUAUUUCUGUAGCCUCAACAGAUGUAACACAACAUCAAAGCAAUUCAAGUGCAAUAAGGGGAACAAUAGGCUACAUCGCUCCAGAGUAUGGCGUGGGUGACACGGCUUCCACCAUUGGGGAUGUAUAUAGCUUUGGCAUUCUUCUAUUGGAGAUGUUUAAUGGCAAAAGACCAACUGAUAGUUUGUUUCAAGAUCAUCUAAAUCUUCAUAACUUCGUUAAGAAUGCUUUGCCAGAACGAGUGAUGGAUAUCGUCGAUCCCUCCAUCCAACUGGAGCACAACAAUGGAAGAUGGAUCAACGAUUGUAUGGUUUCUAUUCUGACAAUUGGAGUUGCAUGUUCAUUGGAAUUGCCAAGAGAUCGCAUGGAGAUGGGAACCGUUGUGAGCAAACUGUGGAAGAUAAAAAAAACUUUGGUUGAACGGAGGGUAGAAACAUAAGGAAGUUUAAAAAGAUUUUGCAACAUGGAAGCCAAAGUUCCCAUCCGUUCAUGUAGCAAAUAUGAGUUUGAGCAAGUGAACAAAAGCACUUACACCUUGGCGUCCACUGUCUAGGAUUACCGAUGCCCUCUAAUGAUGUUAACCUCCACAAUAUGCUGUUCCAAUAGCCUGUUGCGAACCCGCUUUCUGUGAGGGGUGGAUGGUGAUUCCCCCUAUCUUUCGUAUUCACUAUGUAUAAUAGUUGUUCUGCAGUCCAUGUGGGAAGUUUCCAACUGCGAUUGAAGGCUUAGGAUUAAGGUUUAUGCCUUGUAGAACAACAGCUUUCUCUUUUUGUUUUCUCUUUCUUGAACUUGUAUAUCAGCAUAG
Molecule: long non-coding RNA, 844 nt
Organism: Rhododendron vialii
Lineage: Eukaryota; Viridiplantae; Streptophyta; Magnoliopsida; Ericales; Ericaceae
Exons: 3
Source: RefSeq, a predicted model, not a curated record